This 327-nucleotide ribosomal RNA is filed under the name Escherichia coli. RNAcentral describes it as "bacterial SSU rRNA". It matches the Rfam family "Bacterial small subunit ribosomal RNA", at positions 128 to 449 of the family's 1533-position model. The record is from RNAcentral. Lineage: Bacteria; Pseudomonadati; Pseudomonadota; Gammaproteobacteria; Enterobacterales; Enterobacteriaceae.
ACCUAUAAGACUGGGAUAACUUCGGGAAACCGGAGCUAAUACCGGAUAAUAUUUUGAACCGCAUGGUUCAAAAGUGAAAGACGGUCUUGCUGUCACUUAUAGAUGGAUCCGCGCUGCAUUAGCUAGUUGGUAAGGUAACGGCUUACCAAGGCAACGAUGCAUAGCCGACCUGAGAGGGUGAUCGGCCACACUGGAACUGAGACACGGUCCAGACUCCUACGGGAGGCAGCAGUAGGGAAUCUUCCGCAAUGGGCGAAAGCCUGACGGAGCAACGCCGCGUGAGUGAUGAAGGUCUUCGGAUCGUAAAACUCUGUUAUUAGGGAAGAA